RNAcentral lists this ribosomal RNA (106 nucleotides) under Pogona vitticeps (central bearded dragon). The record is from RNAcentral. Lineage: Eukaryota; Metazoa; Chordata; Lepidosauria; Squamata; Agamidae.
AGCUAGGCUUACUUCUGAUGUCAUCCACUUGUAUAAGGUAAACAUGACCAGGACUGGUUAGUACUUGGAUGGGAGACCACCAGGGAAUACCAGGAAUCUCCAGGUA